GUGGGGAAUAUUGGGCAAUGGGCGAAAGCCUGACCCAGCAACGCCGCGUGAAGGAAGAAGGUUUUCGGAUCGUAAACUUCUAUCCUUGGUGAAGAUAAUGACGGUAGCCAAGAAGGAAGCCCCGGCUAACUACGUGCCAGCAGCCGCGGUAAUACGUAGGGGGCAAGCGUUGUCCGGAAUGAUUGGGCGUAAAGGGCGCGUAGGCGGCCCGGUAAGUCUGAAGUGAAAGUCCUGCUUUUAAGGUGGGAAUUGCUUUGGAUACUGUCGGGCUUGAGUGCAGGAGAGGUGAGCGGAACUCCCGGUGUAGCGGUGAAAUGCGUAGAGAUCGGGACGAACACCAGUGGCGAAGGCGGCUUACUGGACUGUAACUGACGCUGAGGCGCGAAAGUGUGAGGAGCAAACAGGAUUAGAAACCCGAGUAGUCC
RNAcentral lists this ribosomal RNA (425 nucleotides) under uncultured bacterium. RNAcentral's name for it is "partial 16S ribosomal RNA". It matches the Rfam family "Bacterial small subunit ribosomal RNA", at positions 354 to 796 of the family's 1533-position model. The record is from RNAcentral.